This is a long non-coding RNA of Siniperca chuatsi (mandarin fish), 424 nucleotides long. RefSeq lists it as uncharacterized. The transcript has 2 exons. The record is from RefSeq and is a predicted model, not a curated record. Lineage: Eukaryota; Metazoa; Chordata; Actinopteri; Centrarchiformes; Sinipercidae.
CAAGGAAACAAGCCCAAAUUAUUUUUUUCCAAAAAAAAAAAAAAAGUACAACGUAGCCAAAGUACUGCAGUUUAGAGGAGAGAGGCAGUAAGCAGUGAAAAAAAGUCCACAGAGGGCUUCUGUUCUGUUAGGACAAUAAAAGCCUCUCAGUGACAAUGCAGAAGCUUAUGUGUGGAAACUGAAGAAAGGGGAAGGUCAAGUUCUCCUGACUGAUGAUCAGGUGGGAUUUCCAUUCUUGCACAGACAUGUGCCAAUAUGACAAGCUCACCGUUUUUUUCCAUUUGUCUAUGCCGAGUCCAUGUUCAGGAUAGUGACUGCUCAGACAUAGAGACCUCUAUCCUCCUCUCAGUUGUCCUCCCUUCAUCCUGAAUUUAUCCUUUUCUACAAACUGUAAAAUUUGAGGCUUCUGUCCAUUCCUGCAGAG